CGUUAUACACAUUUGUCUGUCAGUUUGCCAAUCUGUUUACAAAAUAAUAUAAAUUUCUGUGAAUUGUGAAUUAAUUGAUACUUUAAAGGAUUCAGAAACCAUGCAACCAUCACUCUUCUAGAAUUCGUGACUGUAAAUAAGACAGGCUACAAGACAGUUGAGAUCACAUUUGAAAAUUGCACAUCUACAUGUAUCUGGAUUCUGCAUUAACAAACCAUUGCAUGCAGUCAGAAAGUCACAGGAACUACAUCUACAAAAUGAAGAUUGUGGAUUGGUGAAUGAGAAUGGUUGCCAUGACUAGUUUUGUUGUUGCCAUGGGGAGACAACUUGGCGUGCUGAUAUUUUUUGCUA
Molecule: long non-coding RNA, 351 nt
Organism: Dreissena polymorpha
Lineage: Eukaryota; Metazoa; Mollusca; Bivalvia; Myida; Dreissenidae
Exons: 3
Source: RefSeq, a predicted model, not a curated record